GAUGAACGCUGGCGGCGUGCCUAAUACAUGCAAGUCGAGCGAACAGACGAGGAGCUUGCUCCUCUGACGUUAGCGGCGGACGGGUGAGUAACACGUGGAUAACCUACCUAUAAGACUGGGAUAACUUCGGGAAACCGGAGCUAAUACCGGAGAAUAUAUUGAACCGCAUGGUUCAAUAGUGAAAGACGGUUUUGCUGUCACUUAUAGAUGGAUCCGCGCCGCAUUAGCUAGUUGGUAAGGUAACGGCUUACCAAGGCAACGAUGCGUAGCCGACCUGUGAGGGUGAUCGGCCACACUGGAACUGAGACACGGUCCAGACUCCUACGGGAGGCAGCAGUAGGGAAUCUUCCGCAAUGGGCGAAAGCUUGACGGAGCAACGCCGCGUGAGUGAUGAAGGUCUUCGGAUCGUAAAACUCUGUUAUUAGGGAAGAACAAAUGUGUAAGUAACUAUGCACGUCUUGACGGUACCUAAUCAGAAAGCCACGGCUAACUACGUG
This 497-nucleotide ribosomal RNA is filed under the name uncultured bacterium. Its description in RNAcentral is "partial 16S ribosomal RNA". It matches the Rfam family "Bacterial small subunit ribosomal RNA", at positions 28 to 507 of the family's 1533-position model. The record is from RNAcentral.